UUUGGGUUUGUCGGCUAUUGC
Molecule: non-coding RNA, 21 nt
Filed under: Caenorhabditis elegans
Lineage: Eukaryota; Metazoa; Nematoda; Chromadorea; Rhabditida; Rhabditidae
Source: RNAcentral